GAUUUUGAGUAGCUUCUGCAGUUGCCUUAUUGACCCUGUUUGCUUUCUUAUUUCUGUUACGUGUUCAAUAUCGUGAAUUCCGUGGUUGCCUUUCCCUUCGUGUCUUAUGCAGAUGCAUCUCUUGCUUUAGUCUGGAGUAUCAGGAUUUUGAGUAGCUUCUGCAAUUGUUCUGUUUGGUGAAAUUUUGCAGGAAUUUGGUUUUAAAGGUUUACGUUGCAGUUACUUCUUGGCUUAUAAUUUAAUUUCUUAUUUCUUUGAUGUCUGGAACCAUCUGUUUAUGCAGAUUGCAAAUCUUGUCUCUCUAUGGAAAUCUUGCCUAACUAUAAGAGGGGUCUUUUAUCCGAUCUUUUUUAUUCGUACCGUCUGUAUAAUGUGGGGCACAUUGUCUGAGCUAUAUUUCUGCCUGCAGGCGUAUCCUAACUCGUGUCUAUAUAUGGAGGUCUCACUUUCUCGAACGAGUUUUAAGAAGGGGUUUGAGUAGUUUUUGGCUUAUGAUUUUGUUUCUUAUUUCUUGGUGUUUAUGAGGUAUGGAACCAUUAUUUGAGCACUCUUUUAUGCAGAUGCAUCCUAAUGUUUGUCGGUUGCUGGAGUCUCACACUGUUGAAAGAAAAAAAGGGGUUUUCUGAGUUAUUAUCUGAUUUUAUAUUCUUGGAGCCCGUAUGACAUCCUAAGACAGGUUUUAAGCAAUGUCUUUAUAAGCAGACCAUUACAAUUGUCUUCUUGUGGGGUCUGAUUCCUUGAAGUAGAACGAGCGGCCUUUAAGAAAGGGUUUGAGUGGUUCUCUGCUUAUGAUUUAACUUCUUACACGAGCCAUUAUUUGAGUAAUGUUAUCUUUUAGAGUUUGAUGCAUCUUGUGUAUUGGUGAAGAUUUUAUAAGAUCUGGUACCAUUGUUCGAGCAAUAUUCUAUGCAAAUGCAAUUUAACUCGCCCGUGUAUGGAGUUUUACUUUGUUUAAGGACAGCAGGGAGGCUACCAACAGUGAAUUUCUUCGCCCUGUUAUUUGAUUUCCUGGUCUUAAGAAACCCCCGCCCUAUAUGCAACACAUACUAACUCUUGUCUUGUACAUGCAGUCCAACAUUGUUGACAGAGAAGAGCUUCUUCCCGGGGGGGUUUCUUAUCUUAUUAUCUAUUAUCUAUUUCUGGAUUUAGAGAUCUUGGGCCAUGAUUUGCACCAUUACUUUCCAUUCUAUGGGGUCCAACUUUGUUGAAGGAAAUCGCUUUUAAGAGGGAGUUGAGUAGUAUGGCCUUAUGAUUUAAUUUCUUCUUGGGUUUAUGAGAUUCGACACUUUAAUUGGGCGUUCUUUUGUGCAGAUGCAUCGUAGCUCUGCUCUGUUUCUGGAUCUUUUUUCCUCACAUGUUGGGCUUUGUUGAUUUUUGUGUUGUGCUUUAAUGUCUCAGUUUUAAAGGAGUUAUGAGAUGCAUCCUUGUUCUUGUGUGCGAAAGAGAGUAACUUAAUUCAUGACUGGACUCCUUUCUUAAGGAGGUUACGCUGCGUCAUAUCUUUGUUGUGGAUCUCUUUUUCGAGGAGGGUUUCAGGAGUUCAAUUUCAAGUUAAUGUUAAUGGCGAAACCUCAGGAGCAGGUGUCAUGCCGAGUUUUGUUUUCCGUUAUGUAUUUUAUUCAGUAUCCUGAACCUUUGAACCUUUGGGCUAUUAUUCAGUCAUUGUCUCAUGCAGAUGCUCGUUGUUCCAAGUCUUAUUAGAGUUGAGUUGAUGAGGAUGAUCUUUCGAGUGACAAUCAGAACUUGUGGCACGGUGCCUGGUUUUACAUAUUUGCCUUCUUGUUUUCUUGAUACAUUUCUUUUCGAAUGGUUAUAUGUUAUGGUGUUGUCAGUGUUUUUUGCGGUAGUUCAUGGAUUUUCCUGUGCGGAAGUUUUGUAGCUCAGAGUCUUGGAUCUGCAUUGAUUCCUUGAGAAACACACUCCACAUUUGGUUUCUUAUUCAUUUGUCUUCUUUCAUGGGGUUUAUCCUUCCUGGCUUGAUAGUUCAACAUAUUCUUAUGGUGAUGGGUUCAUUCUUUUCUUUCAACUUAAUUAUAUUCUCUCAAACUUUACUUUUAUUUCUGUUUUUUAAAAGAUAACUUAUUACAGAUUUUGAAUUUCGUGUAGGGGCCUCAAGAUCCUUAAUCUUUUUUGACUCUGCGCCUCUCCCAUUCAUUUCUAUAUUGUGCUGGUCUUUAAUUAAUUCACACAUUUUAAGGUUUGGCAGAUGCUCGUCUUUAUUGGUAUUGCUGUUUUUGUCUGUUCAAAUGUCUGUUUUGUCUGGUUGAAGGUGGAUUCAAUGCAGUAUGUGCAGCUUUGUGCAAUACUUUGGCCAUUCGGGGUUGGAUAUUCUUUGGUGCUUCUCUUUUUUUUUUCUUCUAUUCUUUGCCCUUUUCAGAAGGGCACUUGUUAAGAUAUUUGGUCGUUCAUUUGAUAUUUUAUUGAUGGGUGGAUAUAAUCUGGCACCACCAUUUGAUCUGAUGCAAUGUGUUUGCAGUUGCAUCCAAACUUGUCUUUUACUGGAGUUGCACUUUGUCAGAGCCUAGAACAUCUCUUUUAAGAGGUGGUUUUAUGUUUCUUUGCUUGCGAUUUAGUUCUCUGUAGACCAUAAAUGUGGCAUUUUUGAGCAAAUGUAUUAUGCAAAUUCAUUUCGCAUCAAGUAAAUGGAAUGGGUAUUCAAGCAAACCAACGGAAUCAUGGAUUUGGGCAUGUGCGACGGUCAAGAGGAAUGGGAGUUGCCUUUGUUGAGUGUACGUCUUUCCUUUUGGUCUCAUCUUCAUUAGAAUGUGGACUGCUUUUAGUAGUGUCCACUCUUGGCUUAACUUUCUUCUUGGAUAUUCAGUCUGUAUAUUGUCAGCUUGCUCUUGAGGCCUGGGAGAAUGGGGAUGCUCUUAAGAGGUGUCUGGUACUUCCUGGCUUAUGGUUUAUUUUUGUCAGAUUUUAUCAUAUAUGAUUCAAGCAAAGAGUUCUGUGCAGCAACUUUUGUCUCUUAAUGGAGUCCUAGGGUUUAUAGGAGGAGGGCAGGCUGCUGAUUGUUUUAAGAGGGAGUAGGAAUGUGGUAUGCAGAUUGAUGUCUUUGGAUGCAGUGAAGUAUCAUUGGACUGUAGAGCAGCACUUGCUGACACAUAAACUGAGUAUGACUUUGAUCUUCGUUGAUGGAACUGUUCUUUGAGGGGUCGUGAGAUUUGAUUUUGUCGUUUACAUAGUAUCUUAUUUCCAAUUUGUAUCGAAGUUUUAUUCAUUGAUCUCGUUUUAGCCGAGGUUUUCUCAUGUUCAAGUUAACGGGAUUGAUUUGUCAGCUGAAAUGGAUAGGAUGACUUGCUUUCAUUGUCUUUGGAUUUCAGCGUUUCGAUCUUAAUUAGCUUAGCUUCUAUGCCUUGCUCGAUUUUUCCAGAAUAUGGCCUGAGGGUUUAUCUUUUCCUUUGAUUUGAUUGCUUCUCUCAAAGUCUCCUUUCAUAUAUAUAUAUAUAUAUAUAUAUAUAUAUAUAUAUAUAUAUAUUUUUCUGAGUACAGAUGCUAAUAUUUGCAUAUACCUUUUCGGGUUUUAUAGGGUUGGAGGUGGUGGUUUGUGGUCUGCUAAAGGGUUUGGAUUUUGUCUUAAACAUAGUGACCUGUUGGCAUUUUUGGGUGCAAGUGCUGGUUUGCUUUUGCUGGUUCUUUUGUUGUGGCAUAUUACUCUUUUUUUUUCCUGGCAGGCUAAAGUUGCUUAAGUUCGUGAUGGGUCAGUAUGUUGGAUAUUUGAAAUUUCUGGGCAGAGUAGUCCAUUGUAGAAGAAGCAGUCUCAUUCUUUGAGGGCUCCGUCUCAGAUUCAAGUUUAUGCACAGAACUGAUAGAACUGUUUUUUUAAACUGCUGAUGGAAAUAGAUGUGGUAUGAAGUGUGGUGUUUCCCUUACCUGUCUUCUUAGUUCCGUCAGCUGAUAGUCAAUACUUUUUUGUAUAACUGUUCCUUUAAAUAGCUUUUGUGUUCAUUUGGGUGGCUUGAUAGGAUCUGUCAUUCUUUUCUUCAUUUGGUGGUGCUUAUGCGUAGUCCAACUUAUUGAACAUUGCAAUCUGACACUCUUUCUAUGAUCAAUUUGACACUUUUAAAGCAUUUGAGUAUUAAUUAAGUAGUUAUUUGUUGGUAUCAAAUUACACAUUUGGAACUUUGGUGUGUUUUUCAUAUUUAUGCCCUUAUUAGUUGCUGGGUGUGUCUCUUUUAUUGGUUCAAUAAUGCUGUGGUCAAGCGUCAUUCGACUAUUCCCAGCUGCUUGCCGAUACAGGUCCUUCUUUAAGAACUGAUGUGAGUGUGAGUCUUGCUUUUAUGUAUGCAUAGCUUAUUUCGGAUCCUGCGAAAACCUUCAAUAUAACAAUGAACAAAUAUGCUUUAGCUGGAUUUUAAGCUCGUGAAGUGUGGAAGGGAUGAUAGGGAUGAGGUCCUCUGAGAGAUUGCAUUAAAUGUAAUUCUUAUCUCCAAUUUAUGACUAAGUAAUGAACUUACAAAGAGAACAUAUUAUGUAUUGAAAGAAUGUAGUCCUGGUUUAUCAUUUUGGAAUGAGCCCUUUACGUAGAUUGCUUAUUAUGGGAGGAAGAGAAUUUUUUUCUUGCUUUCGUUAAAGGAGAUUUCUGAACUAUGCGACAUUUCUUUUGAAGUAAUUUUUCUCUUUGGAUAUUCGAAAGUAUAUUUGUUAGACAUUUUGUUAAGUUGUUUAUCAAUUGUAUAAAGUCAACUUCUUGGUAGCUUUUUCUCUUUUAGAUUUGUUUGGCUUUUAGUAUGAUGGUUAUGUGCAUUGCUUUGUUUUUAGCAGCUGUCUGUUGUGUGUAUUUGUGUUUAGUUAGUUAGGUUUAAAGGGAUGUAGCUCAAAAUGGUAGAGCUCUCAGCUUGUAACCAAUGUGAACAAGUUACAAGACUUACGAGAAGAUCAAGGUUCGAAUCCUUGCUUCCCUGCACAUUAACAUAUUUGAUAGUUGCUGUUGAUGUGCGGAUGCUGUUGGUAGCUGACUAAAAUGGUGGUCUGGAUGAUCUGUUAGCUUAAGAACCUGAAUUGGCUGAUUUUCCGGUUUACCACAAGAUGUGGUUUAUUAUGUAAAAGCUUCAGGAAGCUCGAGUUUUAAGCCAACCUCUGCUGCUCUAAUUUGUGCUUCUCAUUUAUUCAUUUCAUACACUUUCUAACGUACAUGUUCACAUUUCUAUCAUUUCAAUUUCUGGCAAUCGAAAAUUUCAAUGUUUGGAUUUAUGUA
Prunus persica (peach) is the source of this 5197-nucleotide long non-coding RNA. RefSeq lists it as uncharacterized. The transcript is spliced from 2 exons. Lineage: Eukaryota; Viridiplantae; Streptophyta; Magnoliopsida; Rosales; Rosaceae. The record is from RefSeq and is a predicted model, not a curated record.